GACUAUAAUGCAGUGGUUAGUAUGCCUGCCUGCCACGCAAAGGUUCCGGGUUCAAAUCCCGGUGGGGUCA
Phthorimaea operculella (potato tuberworm) is the source of this 70-nucleotide non-coding RNA. The record is from the annotation of a GenBank genome assembly. NCBI's taxonomy places the organism in Eukaryota, Metazoa, Arthropoda, Insecta, Lepidoptera, Gelechiidae.